UCCCUGGUAGGUAUAGUAAUAACAAUAAAUAAUUUUAAUAUAUUUGAAGUUUUCAUUACAUACCAGGUAAUUCUGAGCCUUUUCUUUAUAAGAUCAUUAACACCACAUGCCAACAUAUCUUGACAUAGGAGUUUGUCUUGACAGAAGAAGGCAGGUAGGGCUAGUGCACUAGGCUUUCCCAGGACAGAACUGGAGCAGGGGCUGAGACAGCACCCAAGCAGCUAGAAGUGGUGCUAGAAGUUCUGCAGGACUGUAUUAGUGGAUCAGCUGGGAGAGCAUCCAAGUCCUCUCUGGUGUGUUGCCCUCAGUAUGGACAGAAUGUAGCUGGAAAGCAUAUUAAGUGACAGACAAAGUCCUUGGGAUUCAGGACAUGGCAUU
This 378-nucleotide long non-coding RNA is filed under the name Ictidomys tridecemlineatus (thirteen-lined ground squirrel). RNAcentral's name for it is "lncRNA (ENSSTOG00000032232.1)". The record is from RNAcentral. Lineage: Eukaryota; Metazoa; Chordata; Mammalia; Rodentia; Sciuridae.